AACGAACGCUGGCGGCGUGCUUAACACAUGCAAGUCGAACGCGAAAGGGACUUCGGUCCUGAGUAAAGUGGCGCACGGGUGAGUAACGCGUGGAUAAUCUACCCAAUGAUCUGGGAUAACAUCUCGAAAGGGGUGCUAAUACCGGAUAAGACCACGGGAUCUCUGGAUUCUGCGGUAAAAGGUGGGGACCUUCGGGCCUACCGUCAUCGGAUGAGUCCGCGUACCAUUAGCUAGUUGGUGAGGUAACGGCCCACCAAGGCUUCGAUGGAUAGCCGGCCUGAGAGGGUGUACGGCCACACUGGGACUGAGACACGGCCCAGACUCCUACGGGUGGCAG
Molecule: ribosomal RNA, 337 nt
Filed under: uncultured Pseudomonadota bacterium
Lineage: Bacteria; Pseudomonadati; Pseudomonadota
Description: bacterial SSU rRNA
Rfam family: Bacterial small subunit ribosomal RNA
Source: RNAcentral